AGCUUAGCCGCACUCUCAGGUGCUGGUGGAUGCGUCCGCCAGUGAAACGGGAAGUCGGUGAAUGCAUUCCGACGCUGCCCCCGCAACGGUGAUCGAGGAGAGAACGGCCAUCACGCCACUGUGCCAGCGCACGGGAAGGCGGUCGUUCGGUACGUCGGGCCUGCCUCAUGCCCGCCACCCACUCGUCAGCCCGGAGACCGGCCCGAGAGCUCAUGCCGAG
This 220-nucleotide non-coding RNA is filed under the name Halomonas aestuarii. The record is from RNAcentral. Lineage: Bacteria; Pseudomonadati; Pseudomonadota; Gammaproteobacteria; Oceanospirillales; Halomonadaceae.